UGGGGAAUAUUGCACAAUGGGGGAAACCCUGAUGCAGCGACGCCGCGUGAACGAAGAAGGUAUUCGUAUCGUAAAGUUCUGUCCUAUGGGAAGAUAAUGACAGUACCAUAGAAGAAAGCUCCGGCUAAAUACGUGCCAGCAGCCGCGGUAAUACGUAUGGAGCGAGCGUUGUCCGGAAUUAUUGGGCGUAAAGGGUACGCAGGCGGUUUAAUAAGUCGAAUGUUAAAGAUCGGGGCUCAACCCCGUAAAGCAUUGGAAACUGAUAAACUUGAGUAGUGGAGAGGAAAGUGGAAUUCCUAGUGUAGUGGUGAAAUACGUAGAUAUUAGGAGGAAUACCAGUAGCGAAGGCGACUUUCUGGACACAAACUGACGCUGAGGUACGAAAGCGUGGGAGCAAACAGG
RNAcentral lists this ribosomal RNA (402 nucleotides) under bacterium. RNAcentral describes it as "partial 16S ribosomal RNA". It matches the Rfam family "Bacterial small subunit ribosomal RNA", at positions 355 to 776 of the family's 1533-position model. The record is from RNAcentral.